This is a non-coding RNA of Oryctolagus cuniculus (rabbit), 920 nucleotides long. The record is from RefSeq and is a predicted model, not a curated record. Lineage: Eukaryota; Metazoa; Chordata; Mammalia; Lagomorpha; Leporidae.
CUCACCCUUCCUCACCCUUCUGAUGGGUUUUUUGUCUUAGAAUGAGCAGGCUCCAUAGGGUUACAAUUCCGGUCUGCAGGUGGGUUCCCCGCCCCCCCCCCAUUGUUAGCUGGCAUUCUGCUCCUCCCACAAACCGUGCAUUAAAGACCCCGCCCUGGCAAAUGUCUCCUGCAUUCCUGUCCUGGAGACCUGGUGCUGGCUGCAAUCGCUGGAGGCUUCUCACUUAAGUAAAUCCUGCUUUGCUUACAGUCCCUGUCCACAGGGAAAUUCCCUCACCUGAGACCGUUAAGGGAAGACGACGGCUGAAAAAUUAUUGUUACCUCGGUUCUUUGUCUAACAUGGAAGAAGAAUUUCCAAGGAGACGGCAAAGAGAUUUAAAAGUAUUUAUUAGAAUCAAAGACCUCCAGCCAGAGCGGCAUGGAGGGGGGCUUCCAAGAGGUGAAAACCACAGGGCCCGUGGUAAUAACGUUUUUAAGUACAAUCUUGGGGACCAAACUGUCAGCCUACAAGGAGGUGGCAACAAAAGACCUGUCUGGCUUGUCCUUGCUAUUUUCAUGAAAUUCCCGUUUGCUUCACCCUCUCAAACACACGGGCUAAUGUCUACGUAGCUACCUCAACAGUUCUGCAACAGUCUUAACAUAUACGUUCUUCACGCUUUAACAAAUGUGCUCUUUACUCCAUUACACUUGAGGCUGGUGGCAGCUACCGGCUCCCUGGUCACACUUGAAAGCUCCCUCCAACCCUCAGAAGCCUGAAGAAGAGGUCAGCCUUGGACGCUUCCCACGAAGUUGACUUCUGUUCACACCAAAAUGUGUAUUUGAUGAUUAUGAUGACUCAUAGAUAUCCAGCACUACUUAUGAGUAUACAAAUAUAAUUAUGGAAACUUUUUGCUAUGCUGAUGCAUAGCAAAUAAAUUAGAC